RNAcentral lists this unclassified non-coding RNA (360 nucleotides) under Hevea brasiliensis (rubber tree). Lineage: Eukaryota; Viridiplantae; Streptophyta; Magnoliopsida; Malpighiales; Euphorbiaceae. The record is from RNAcentral.
UGACAAUCUCCCAUUUUAUAAAAGGACCGCUAACACAAAUGGAGUUCCAUCACCAAAGCUGUAAAUAAAAUUAGAUCGUGGAGCAUUAUGAAAUUCAUUAAACGAUGCCCAUUCAACAAUCAUCACUACAAUAAUGGCUGCCAAUUUUCGGUGAUCAACCAUUUGAACACUAGGCUACCUUAGUCUCAGUAACAUUCAUCCCAGCGGAUCUGCAACUCAUUUUGAACUAAAAAUCUAUGUCAUUUCAUCAGACAUGAAAAACUCCAAGUAUAUCAUCAGUUAAUGAAUACCUGAUCAUCACAAUUCUAUAACCAUGUGAUGAAUAUAGACAACCAAAGAUGCAUAAACAUAUCAUUCCAG